This 58-nucleotide ribosomal RNA is filed under the name uncultured Glomus. RNAcentral's name for it is "partial 18S ribosomal RNA". It matches the Rfam family "Eukaryotic small subunit ribosomal RNA", at positions 1772 to 1831 of the family's 1831-position model. The record is from RNAcentral. Lineage: Eukaryota; Fungi; Glomeromycota; Glomeromycetes; Glomerales; Glomeraceae.
UUUAGAGGAGUAAAGUCGUAACAAGGUUUCCGUAGGUGAACCUGCGGGAGGAUCAUUA